GUGAAAAGCGCGCCCGAGGCAUGCCUGACUCAAGGCGACAGCCUUAGGGAUUUAGAGUAGAAAGGCAUGCGACCUACACUAGGUGCUCGCUUCAGGGCAGAGAUGCGCACCUGAACCCAGGCGCAAUAAAGGCGAGCUUAGGAGAUUUUAGGAGCCAGAAAAAAAUCGACCCAAACUCACGUGCUGCAUGCCUGUGAGUGGAGGAUCUCAGCUUAAUCGGUGCCGACGGCAAGAUUUUAUACCAAGAAAAGCUUUUCUCAUCUCUUUAUGGGUGUUUUAUCAAGCAAUAAUUCUUCAAUCUCAGCCAAAAAAAGGUCUUUGUUUACGGAGUCUUCUAGUGCCUCUGUGAGUGAUAGUGAUGUUAGAAAAGACCCCGGUUAGAAAUAUGUCCGUUUAGCCAAUCCAAGCAACAAAAAAUAAUAUCACAAUUCCGUGCUUCUGCUUCUCCCUCUGCUGUUGCCUUUGCAGACGAUGAUGAGCUUGCUCUGGAUCAUGGGAACUGGGACGGGUUUCCAUUCUCAAAAUGAGUAAGUUCAUUUGAUGAACAGUCUCUGCUGGAAAUUCCGUGCUGCUCAAUAUUGCAAGCUAAAGAUUCAUUUUGAUGAUCACAGUUGUUGUAGUCCUCAUUUGAUAAGUUUACAACCUUGAAUUUCUCAUUGUCACAAACCCCAGAUUUAUUUUUGUCACCGCAUCAUUUUGGUCCUCAUUUGGUAACUUUAAAUCUUCAAGAUGUCCAUUAUCAAAAUCCUCUAAUCUAUUUUGAUCGCUUGCUUUUUUUU
Long non-coding RNA from Jatropha curcas, 779 nucleotides. RefSeq lists it as uncharacterized. NCBI's taxonomy places the organism in Eukaryota, Viridiplantae, Streptophyta, Magnoliopsida, Malpighiales, Euphorbiaceae. The record is from RefSeq and is a predicted model, not a curated record.